UUCAUGGUUCGGCCUGAAUUUCUUGUUUUAUUUGCUUACCCUUAUGCUGUCACUUUUUACAGGGACGGUGUGAGUGAGUCUCAGUUCAACCAAGUCCAACAUGUUGAGCUCGAACAAAUCAUUGAGGCCUGCAAGUUCCUUGACGAGAAUGGGUCUCCCAAGUUUGUUGUCAUUGUUGCGCAAAAUCAUCAUCAUACUAAGUUUUUCCAGUCUGGAUCUCCUGAAAAUGUUCCUCCUGUCACCUUCAGAUUCACAA
This is a long non-coding RNA of Impatiens glandulifera, 256 nucleotides long. RefSeq lists it as uncharacterized. The record is from RefSeq and is a predicted model, not a curated record. NCBI's taxonomy places the organism in Eukaryota, Viridiplantae, Streptophyta, Magnoliopsida, Ericales, Balsaminaceae. The transcript has 2 exons.